GAUUGAUAUGGGUGAUGCCUCGGCUUAACUCGCGAUGAAGGACGAAAUUUAUCUCGUUAUUAAAAGCGAAUUAUGAUCUUUCGAACUUUUAUCUCUGAACACAUGUAAGACACCUCUCUUGAGCGUGUUAUUGGUUUCAGUAGUAUUAUUUACACAAGAAUGAAGUACCCAAAAUAUUUUUGUGGUGCGAUUUAUUCGUAGAUUCUAACUAUAAGGUCCACGUCUUUAAGAUUUACUCUGAUUCCAAUAAGUAGAACCCGCUGAAUUUAAGCAUAUUAAUAAGCGGAGGAGAAGAAAACAACUGUGAUAUCCUCAGUAGUGGCGAACGAAAAGGAUCUAGCACUCCGAGUAAUUGUACUUUGUGCAACUUGUCUCGUACCAAACUCAUUGGGUUUUCUGUUAUGUCGUGUCUUUGGAAAAAGUCAUGUAUUGUGGUGAUAAACCAUUCCAUUUCAGCUUUCUCUAUGUUUGCGGUUUCUGAGUAGGGUUCUUUCAAAUUGGAAUCUGAAACGGAGGUAACUUCCUUCGAAUGCUAAAUAUCUGUUAAGCCCGAUAGCGUAUAAGUACCGUGAGGGAAAGGUGAAAAGACAGCUCGAAAGCUAGUUAAUAGACCUGAAACCAUAUCAGUAGAAGGCUACUUUAAAGUUGACUUCUUUGGUUCAUUUAUGCACCUUUGAAUUAGACAUUUCUCUAUUGCUUUUGCUUUAGUUUUUUGUGUUUACUUUAUGUAGCGCCCGUCUUGAAACACGGACUAAGGAGUCAUUCGCCACUGCAAGUUGAUGAUGUUUUUAACAUCUACGCGUUUUGAGCAGUCUUGAAUGGACCCGAAAGGUGGUGAACUAUUCGUGAGAGAGUUGACGUCAGAGGAAACUCUGACUGAGGACUUGUGUGUUACUGACGUGCAAUUCGUUCAUUUUACUCGUGAAUAGGGGCGAAAGACUAAUCGAACCACCUAGUAGCUGGUUCCCCCCGAAGUUUCUCCUAGGAUAGCGGGCGAGAUCUUUAUCAUGUAUAGUAGAGAAAUGAUUGGCGGAUAGGGGGAUGUAUGUUCUUCACCGACUCUCAAACUACAAACGUACAUUGAGUUGAAUACUUAACAGAUUCUUCUCGUAGAAAUACUCGCCUCGUGGACCGUUUUUGGUAAGCAGAUACGGUGCUUUGGAAUGCUCCAAGCCUGAUGAUAAGGGAUAUUGCUAUCGGUUUAAUGCUCUAAAAAGGUGUUAAUACAUUUAGACAGUCCGACGGUGGCCAUGGAAGUUGGAAUCCGCUAAGGAGUGUGUAACAACUCACGGACCGAAUGUAUUAGCCCUUAAAAUUGACUGUGCUCAAACCGUUCGCCCGAAACAUCAGAGGCCUUGUUUUAAUAAGGUUUUGUAGGGGGGUGUAUCGGAUGCGUAGAAGGCCUGUUGUGAAACAAGCUGGAGCUUCCGGUAGUGCAGAUCUUGGUAGGAGUAGCAGUGUUUUAGUAUUAUCCUUAAAGACGGAUGUAGACGAGGUUUUCAUAGACACAUCGUUUGGCUAUGAGUGAGUCGAUCUUAACGCAUUAAUCUGCGGAAAAGGAAUAGAGUUUAAAUUCUCUAACUGGCUUCUUUUGCUAGAGAUGGUGACAUCAUUAUCUUUCACGUUUCUAUGGGUUGCCUGGGGCGUGCGUUAUCUAUGCACUAUAACUAGUUGCCGACUGUCGAAGAGGCUUGACCUAAGAAACAGUUUAAAGCUAGGAAAUAUGGUCCUCUUUGGAUCACCCGGUGUCUCCUAUGGAGCUCUAAGUGUGAGAAUUCUUGCAGUGAGCCAAUCGUACCAACAACCGCAUCAGGUCUCUAAGGUUCAUAACCUUUCGUUUAUGGAAUAAAAUAGGUGAGGGAAAUCGGCAAAUUAGAUCUGUAACCUUGGGAAAAGGAUUGGCUCUGCAGGCAUUUCAUCGGAUCGUUUCUUUCAUUUCGGUUUCUGACUCUGUUGGAGAUUGAUAUUCAUGAUUGAUGCGUGAACUUGGACAUGUGCCAUAGUAGAACUGAGACUAUGAGGGGAAUCCGACAGUUUAACUAAAACCAAGCAUUCUGCUAGUGUCCUUUACUGAAACACAGAAUGUGAAUUCUGCCCGGUGCUUUGAAUGUCAAUGUGAGGAGACUCAUCUAAGCGCGGGUUAACGGCAGGCGUAACUAUGACGCUUUCAACGUAGCAAAAUGCCUCGUCAUCUAAUUAGUGACUCGCAUGAACGGAUUAAUGAGAUUCCUACUGUCCCCAUCUAUUUUCCAGCGAAACUACAGGCCAGGGAACGGGCUGGCCUUUGACAGAACGGCAAGAAGACCCUGUUGAGGUUGACUCUAGCUAGUUUUUGUACAGUAGCUCAAGCAGUGUAGCGUAUGUGGGAGCGUAAGCGAAAGUGAAACACCACAAUGUUUGAAGCCGCUGAACUUACUCUUUACCUUCUAGUUCUGCUAUCAAGUAAAUCUUAGUUUUAAAGAGGACAUUCACUGGUUGGGAGUUUGGCUGGGGCGGUACAUUUGUUAAAAGUCACCACAAGUGUCCAAAGGCUAUCUCAAUAAGAACAGAAAUCUUAUGUGGACUAAAAGGAGAAAAGAUAGCUUUACUUUUUCGUUCAUAAGCCGAAAGAGUUGUGAAAGCAUGGCCUAUCGAUCCUUUCGCGAAGCAGGAGUUGCGCCGAGAGGUGUCUGAAAACUUACCACAGGGAUAACUGAUUUGUGGCAGCCAAGCGUUCAUAGCGACGUUGCUUUUUGAUCCUUCGAUGUCGGCUCUUCCUAUCAUGAAGUUGUAGAAGGCUUCAAGUGUUAGAUUGUUCACCUAUAAAAAGGGAUCGUGAGCUGGGUUCAGACCGUCG
This 2836-nucleotide ribosomal RNA is filed under the name invertebrate metagenome. Its description in RNAcentral is "eukaryotic LSU rRNA". It matches the Rfam family "Eukaryotic large subunit ribosomal RNA", at positions 1 to 2973 of the family's 3401-position model. The record is from RNAcentral.